UCAUGCCACGCGUGUUUUCAAAGUGUUCAAUACCAAUGUCAUGGGAAACAAACAAUUGAAACAUAUAUCAUCCUCUUCACUGCCCAAGGAAACAAAUCAGAAGCACUAAGCCCCAAAGGUUUCCCCCAAACUGUUUUUAUUCCAACAAUCAAAUCUUCAGAAACUAUGAAUCUCUCCAUAAAAAGUUUUGGCUUUCUCUCAAUCUCUCAAGAAACAGGUGAAUCGCCCUCAAUCUUUUUCUCAAUCCUUUUCGUUGAACUUGAAAUCUCUGAACCAAAUCUUUCUCUCAAUUUGGCGCUUACUCAGUGGUUGAACUCGAAUCUCUGAUGGUUUUAUGCAUGCUGCAACAUGAAUAUUAGGAUAGGUCUCAUGCUUCCAAGAACAUGGGACUGAAGUUGAAAAAGCCAUAGAGCAAUUAGGAAAAUCAAGGACCUUAAUCAAUGUAAAGUGAAAGACAAGGUAGAAAUGAAAAAUAAUAAGUAUAUAGAUCCUUUCCUCAAUGUACAUUAUUUUUAUAUGGGCAAGUUGAAGGCAAGUAGCUUCUGCCUGGGCAAGGAAGGUGUUGGGUUAAAAAUUUGACGUGAUGCUCUAUGCUCUCUCUGUUUAAAGAAAAUUACUACAUCAAAUAUAUGUUUUUAUAAUGCAUUUGUAAUGAUAAGCUACAAAUUUAGUUGGAUAUGAUGAUUUUCAAAUUUAGUAGUUAAUGCAGAUAAAAUAUUUCUACGAUUAA
Molecule: long non-coding RNA, 730 nt
Organism: Medicago truncatula (barrel medic)
Lineage: Eukaryota; Viridiplantae; Streptophyta; Magnoliopsida; Fabales; Fabaceae
Exons: 2
Source: RefSeq, a predicted model, not a curated record